GUAUGGCGGUGCGCCUACCAUGCAGUCGAGCGAUGAUGGAAGUAACACAGAGCAGAGAUUAUUCUCUCUUCUGUGUUACUUCUUGAUUAGCGGCAAACGGGUGCGUAACACGUUGAUAUCUCCCCCCGAGUGAGGAAUAACUAUUCGAAAGAAUAGCUAAUACCGCAUAACACCUAUGGGUAAAAGCAGCAAUGCGCUUGGGGAAGAGUCUGCGGCCUAUCAGCUAGUUGGCGGGGUAAUAGCCCACCAAGGCAAUGACGGGUAGCUGGUCUGAGAGGACGGCCAGCCACAAUGGAACUGAGACACGGUCCAUACUCCUACGGGAGGCAGCAGUGAGGAAUCUUCCACAAUGGGCGAAAGCCUGAUGGAGCGACACCGCGUGAAGGAUGAAGCCUUUGUUGGUGUAAACUUCUUUUCUCUCCGAAGAUAAUGACGGUAGGAGAGGAAUAAGGGGCGGCAAACUUCGUGCCAGCAGCCGCGGUAAUACGAAGGCCCCAAGCGUUAUCCGGAAUUACUGGGCGUAAAGCGUCUGUAGGUGGUUUUGUAAGUCUCGAGUGAAAGGUCAGGGCUCAACCCUGUACUUGCUCGGGAAACUACAAGACUUGAGUGCGGGAGAGGCAAGCAGAACGGUGUGAGUAGGGGUGCAAUCC
This 650-nucleotide ribosomal RNA is filed under the name uncultured bacterium. RNAcentral describes it as "bacterial SSU rRNA". It matches the Rfam family "Bacterial small subunit ribosomal RNA", at positions 35 to 689 of the family's 1533-position model. The record is from RNAcentral.